This 1538-nucleotide long non-coding RNA is filed under the name Heterocephalus glaber (naked mole-rat). RNAcentral describes it as "lncRNA (ENSHGLG00100042524.1)". The record is from RNAcentral. Lineage: Eukaryota; Metazoa; Chordata; Mammalia; Rodentia; Bathyergidae.
CUUUAGUUUAUUCCAUCACAGCACAGUCCACAUUUAAUGAUUUACAAGAUCUGAGAGAACAGAUUCUUCAAGUUAAAGACACUGAUGAUGUUCCAAUGAUUCUGGUUGGUAAUAAAUGUGACUUGGAAGAUGAAAGAGUCAUAGGAAAGGAACAAGGUCAAAAUCUAGCAAGACAGUGGAACAACUGUGCAUUCUUAGAAUCUUCUGCAAAAUCAAAAAUAAAUGUUAAUGAGAUCUUUUAUGACCUAGUGCAGCAAAUUAACAGAAAAACUUCAGUGCCUGGGAAGGCCCUCAAAAAGUCAUCAUGUCAGCUGCUUUAAUAUACUAAAUGCAUUGUAGCUCUGAGCCAGGUCUGAAGAACUGUUGCCCAAUUCAACAGUGCCAGCAUUCCAACUUUGUUAAACCUACCAACAUCUUAAAUGGACUUUCCUGUGGUGGUACACUUUAAGAGGCAGAUGAAAGCUACUAUAUCAGUUUGCACACUCUAAUCACUUUCCAGUAUCACAAGAGAGAUUUUUACUUAUAUAAUAGCCCUAGAGUAUGCAGCUGGUAAAACCAGAGGCUACAUCCAGUAUUACUGCUAAGAGACAUUUCUUCAUCCACCAAUGUUGUACAUGUAUGAAAAUGGUGUACUGUAUACUUUAACACACCUCAUACUUUGUAUUGGAGAAGUACAAUAAUGUAAAUCCUAGAAGCACCACUAUUUUAGCAUAAUAAAAGAAAAUCCAAAGAGCUCCUAUAUAGACUGUUCCAGAUAACUUUGCUUCUUUGAUACUUGUAGCUUAUUGUAAUUUUUUUAAAAUCAAGGUCAUUGUCAUUGUAUUGUACAAAAAAGCGCUUUGUUAACACAGCUAUGUAAUUUUUUAAUUUUUCAAAAACUUGUGGAGACCGUGAUCUUGUCUUUAAACUAUGAUAGUCCUUUCAGUAUAAUGUCUUAGAUUAAAGACGUUGCCUUUAAUAUCUGUUGGGAAGGAAAUGUCCAGACUUUUCAAAUUCCCUUAUUAUGUUUCCUUUUUUGUUUACAUAGGGAACAAUGUUUAUAGUUGUGUGUACAGUGGGGGUCUACAACAAGAAAUGUAUAUUUUCAAACAAUUUUUUAAUGAUUUAACAAUUUUUGUAAAUCAUUUUCAGGCUUCUGCAGCUGUAGAUUCUCACUGUGAAUCCCUUGCUUGCUCAUGCAUAAGUGUAUUUGCAAUACCAAAUAUACAGGUUUAGUAUUUUUGCCUGUUAGUGAUUGUUUCACAUGUGUAACGUUUUGAUUGAGAUGUUAAAUGGUGGAAUGGCAGUACUGUGGAUGUGAAUGUGGGAAGUAAUUUUAAUCAUGUGUAACUGGUCACAAGGCCUAAUUUGCAGUAACUAUUGCUGUUUUAUUUAACAAUGCCUUGUUGCUUUGUAUGCAUUAAUGUUUGGGUGUAAAGAUUGUGUGUCUACCCAACAGGGAGCCACAGUAUUUAAAUUGACCAACCUAAUGUUACAACUACUUUGAGGUGGCCAAAUGUAAACUAAAAGCCUUAAUUAAAGUGGUUCAAUUUUGUAUA